GGCCUAAUACAUGCAAGUCGAACGGUAACAGGUGUAGCAAUACAUGCCGACGAGUGGCGCACGGGUGCGUAACGCGUAUGCAACCUACCUUUAUCUGGGGAAUAGCUUCGAGAAAUCGAAAUUAAUACCCCAUAACAUUAUGAGUUGGCAUCAACUUAUAAUUAAAACUCCGGUGGUUAAAGAUGGGCAUGCGUGACAUUAGCUAGUUGGUGAGGUAACGGCUCACCAAGGCUACGAUGUCUAGGGGAUCUGAGAGGAUUAACCCCCAAUCUAGUACUGAGACACGGACCAGACUCCUACGGGAGGCAGCAGUAAGGAAUAUUGGACAAUGGUCGCAAGACUGUUCCAUCCAUGCCGCGUGAAGGAUGACUGCCCUAUGGGCCGUUUUCUUC
Molecule: ribosomal RNA, 392 nt
Filed under: uncultured organism
Description: bacterial SSU rRNA
Rfam family: Bacterial small subunit ribosomal RNA
Source: RNAcentral